This is a non-coding RNA of Nerophis lumbriciformis (worm pipefish), 1546 nucleotides long. NCBI's taxonomy places the organism in Eukaryota, Metazoa, Chordata, Actinopteri, Syngnathiformes, Syngnathidae. The record is from the annotation of a RefSeq genome assembly.
ACAUGAAGCGUGCAUUGGUGUGUGUGCUGAUGGCUGCCUGGAGCCUUGGAUGUGGCAGCCAGACGGUGCACCAACCAGCAGAGAAUGUGUACGCCAUGAAAGGCGACUCAGUGACGCUGGACUGCAGCUAUGAAAAUUCUGUAGGCAACAACUACAUCUUCUGGUACAAGCGGGAAGGGCAGGCGGCACCAAAGUUCGUCCUGAGCCUCUCAAUAUUCGGUCAGGGCAAGACUGAGAGCAGCUUUGAAAAGAGGUUCAGCUGCAGCAACAAUGACACCGCCAAGCGAGCUCCUCUGAAGAUCCAAGACGUGCAGCUGAAUGACUCUGCAGUCUUCUACUGCGCCAUCCAGCCCACAAUGACUGACAUCUCUGCUGCACCCGCACAGAAACCUCUGACAUCACAGGGGUGGCAAACUGGAGAUAUUUUUUUUGCUUCUCCAUGCACUCCAGUCCAAGGGAGCAGAGUCGAAGUAUGCAGGAGUUUGCAGUGACCACUUCAUUAAAGGUGCUGUGCCCUCAUCCUCACUGCAUCUCAGCCCAGCCACACUGAGAAUCAUCAUUUAGGGAGAAGUUGUGAUGGACAACAUUCAAGACCUGCCAAAAGCUGUGUCCAUUCUCUUUGGACUGCAUCUCAACUCCCCAACGUCUAUGAAGUAAAAAUUUCCAGGUCAUCCAACAGGUACUUUUCGAGCUGGGCCAUGGUGAGCUGAAACCAAAAUGACCAUUUUCUGGGCUAUGGAGCGCACUGUGAUAUACGCCGCACCCACAUAAUUUUAGAAGAAAAAUAUAUUUUUCCAUAUAUUGGCUCGCACCGGACUAUGAGCCACAGAUAUAUACGUUAUAAAUUGACUUAUUUACACAGAAAUAUUUUGUAAAUGUUUAUUUACAUACCUUAAUUGUUUCCAAACGGUGUCUGUAACACGGCAGUAAACGGCUGAUCAAACACAACAGAAGUCAUCGUCAUGGACCCACCAGCUGUGGAACUCGCUCUCCAUCAGCUAAAAAGACUCAAUCAGUCCACAGUGACGUUUUAGUGAAUUUAUUGAGGAAUUUGUGAAACGGGUGACCAUGCCAGGAUUAAGAUAACUAAACUCAAAGGACAUGGUUUCUAAAUAUGAAUAUAAACAAUUUGCAAGACAUUAUAAACAUGUAAUAUUCAUGGCAAUGUUCCCAACAAAUCGUUCCAGACCGUCUGCUUAGUGUCGCCCUCACAGCCUGCUCUCUUUCGUUUCUCUCCCCCUGCUGUGAGGCAAGGGGCCUGUCAGUCACAUCACGAUGUGUUGGACUUUCAAAACAAAAUCAUGUAUACCUCUGCGGUAUAUUUUUUGGGGACAAAUGUGUCUUUCUCCAAUAAUGAAGUAUUGAAGAGGGAUGUUUCCCCCAGUACUACACCUAUGUAUGUGAUGUGUUGUGAAGUGCCUCCCUCUUUGGGAUUAGACCCCGCCUCCUCAGCCACCAAGUCAGCGUGCACGGAGCCCAGAAGUGCAAACAUGAAGCGUGCAUUGGUGUGUGUGCUGAUGGCUGCCUGGAGCCUUGGUAAGGUCAU